This 492-nucleotide ribosomal RNA is filed under the name Triticum aestivum (bread wheat). RNAcentral's name for it is "partial small subunit ribosomal RNA". Lineage: Eukaryota; Viridiplantae; Streptophyta; Magnoliopsida; Poales; Poaceae. The record is from RNAcentral.
AUGCAUUCACACAUGCCUACAAUUCAGCCAUGCAAAUGGUUAUGGAAGAGCAGAUGCACAAUGAAAAUUAAGGUCUUUGGCUGGCUGUUGUUUUUUGAUAGACUCAACACUAAGGAUAUGUUGGUAAGAAGGCACUGGAGAUCACCAAAUGAUGAUAAUCUUUGUGUUAUAUGUAAUGCAUAUGUUCAUGAACAUAGGACACACCUGUUUUUUCAGUGUAACUUUAGCUGCAGGGUUUGGGAUUAUCUUCGAAUUGAUUGGACACAGGGGUCUGAUAUCCAACAAUGCAUAUUUCAAUCCAAAACCAGUUUUGGGCAUCCUUUCUUCUUUGAGGUGAUGCUCACAGCAGCAUGGAACAUCUGGAUCUUAAGGAAUGGAAAGAUCUUCAGAGGGGAGCAAGCUCGUUUUGCUGCCUGGAAAUGUAAAUUUGUACAUGAUAUUCUCUUGUUAGCUCAUAGGCUUAGUGAUAACAUCAGAAGACAGCUCAUAGCU